Gossypium raimondii (Peruvian cotton) is the source of this 802-nucleotide long non-coding RNA. RefSeq lists it as uncharacterized. The record is from RefSeq and is a predicted model, not a curated record. NCBI's taxonomy places the organism in Eukaryota, Viridiplantae, Streptophyta, Magnoliopsida, Malvales, Malvaceae. The transcript is spliced from 3 exons.
ACCUCAUUUUAUUCCCCUCCCAAUUUUCCCAAAAAUUCCCCCAAAUCAAGAACCCUAGUCUGCUGCGCUUCACGACCCAAACCUUCCCCAAAUCUGCUGCAUUGUCGUAGACCGUCCCUUCUGCCGUCGUUCAUCUCUACUUCUUUAAGCGUAAUCUAAAUUCAAGAUCAAGCCUUUUGAAAUCUGGCGAGGUAAAGUUCAUCUUUUUGGGAGUCUUGAGUUAAGAGCAAGAGAAAAUGGGGGAUAAAAAUGAAGUCUUGGAGGCUGUAUUGAAGGAAACUGUGGAUUUGGUAAAUAGAUCUGACCAAACUCGCUCGAAAGGGAUUCAUUUGAUGUUUACUAAUGAUAGAAUGUAUAUUUUAAACCGAAUGAAUCCAUGAUUUUUAUCUUUUUAUAAAAAUAAAGUUUUGGUAAACAGAGGUGAAGUAAGUAGUGAAUGCUUCAUCUUAUCUUUUUCCUUAGGCUCUGUAUGCUUUGCUUUGAUUUAAUGCUACUUUUCUUAAUGGGUUUGUCUAACCUGGCUAUCGGUUUUUGGCUCAUGUGUUGUUCUACAGCCUUUUUAUUAAUAUAUUUAUGGUCUUUUAUAUAAAUGAAUGCACUUUAAAGAAUCAUCUAAAAUUAUCCUGUGCUAUUGUACCUAAAAAAAAAAGUUGUCCUGUGAAUUAAUGUUUUUUAAAUUUAGCAAAAACACACACAAAAAGAGAGAGUAGAUUUGAGUAUUUAUUUCAUAUUCAUAUAUCUUGUGUGUUUAAAUUAAUUUAUAUUUAUAUAAAAUAUUGAUAUGUUAAAUUGAAGCAAAUCA